This 685-nucleotide ribosomal RNA is filed under the name Bacillus sp. (in: firmicutes). Its description in RNAcentral is "bacterial SSU rRNA". It matches the Rfam family "Bacterial small subunit ribosomal RNA", at positions 75 to 742 of the family's 1533-position model. Lineage: Bacteria; Bacillati; Bacillota; Bacilli; Caryophanales; Bacillaceae. The record is from RNAcentral.
AGAGCUUGCUCCUUAUGAAGUUAGCGGCGGACGGGUGAGUAACACGUGGGUAACCUGCCCAUAAGACUGGGAUAACUCCGGGAAACCGGGGCUAAUACCGGAUAACAUUUUGAACCGCAUGGUUCGAAAUUGAAAGGCGGCUUCGGCUGUCACUUAUGGAUGGACCCGCGUCGCAUUAGCUAGUUGGUGAGGUAACGGCUCACCAAGGCAACGAUGCGUAGCCGACCUGAGAGGGUGAUCGGCCACACUGGGACUGAGACACGGCCCAGACUCCUACGGGAGGCAGCAGUAGGGAAUCUUCCGCAAUGGACGAAAGUCUGACGGAGCAACGCCGCGUGAGUGAUGAAGGCUUUCGGGUCGUAAAACUCUGUUGUUAGGGAAGAACAAGUGCUAGUUGAAUAAGCUGGCACCUUGACGGUACCUAACCAGAAAGCCACGGCUAACUACGUGCCAGCAGCCGCGGUAAUACGUAGGUGGCAAGCGUUAUCCGGAAUUAUUGGGCGUAAAGCGCGCGCAGGUGGUUUCUUAAGUCUGAUGUGAAAGCCCACGGCUCAACCGUGGAGGGUCAUUGGAAACUGGGAGACUUGAGUGCAGAAGAGGAAAGUGGAAUUCCAUGUGUAGCGGUGAAAUGCGUAGAGAUAUGGAGGAACACCAGUGGCGAAGGCGACUCUCUGGUCUGUAACUG